GCUCCUGUAGCCUAGUGGUUAGAGCGUCCGUCUCGGAUGCGAUAGGUCAUAGGUUCGAUCUCCGGUCGAGUA
This is a non-coding RNA of Potamilus streckersoni, 72 nucleotides long. The record is from the annotation of a GenBank genome assembly. NCBI's taxonomy places the organism in Eukaryota, Metazoa, Mollusca, Bivalvia, Unionida, Unionidae.